UACGUAGGGUGCGAGCGUUAAUCGGAAUUACUGGGCGUAAAGCGUGCGCAGGCGGCGCGUUAAGACAGGUGUGAAAGCCCCGAGCUUAACUUGGGAAUUGCGCUUGUGACUGGCGUGCUGGAGUGUGGCAGAGGGAGGUGGAAUUCCACGUGUAGCAGUGAAAUGCGUAGAGAUGUGGAGGAACACCGAUGGCGAAGGCAGCCUCCUGGGCCAGCACUGACGCUCAUGCACGAAAGCCAGGGGAGCGAACGGG
This 253-nucleotide ribosomal RNA is filed under the name uncultured bacterium. Its description in RNAcentral is "partial 16S ribosomal RNA". It matches the Rfam family "Bacterial small subunit ribosomal RNA", at positions 524 to 776 of the family's 1533-position model. The record is from RNAcentral.